CUUCUUGGGUCAUUCUCAGAUUAAAGAUAUCAGAGUGGUGGUGCUGAAAACUGUUGCCCAAUUCUUCAUCAUCGGAGGCCCCUGGAUACUAGGAUUCUUCCAUCAUGGCAACAAGGUCCUGGGAUUGCUCUUCCAUGUUCUGAACUCUCAGCAGGGAACCUUCAUCUUUCUGAUACACUGUGUUCUUAAUGCAGAGGUGCGGCAACAGUUCACAACGAUCUGCAGAGGAUGACACAUUUUGUUUUCAAACGUCUAUAGUCACUGCCUUUAUUGUUACAGUUUAUUACACACACACACACA
Molecule: long non-coding RNA, 300 nt
Organism: Alosa sapidissima (American shad)
Lineage: Eukaryota; Metazoa; Chordata; Actinopteri; Clupeiformes; Clupeidae
Exons: 3
Source: RefSeq, a predicted model, not a curated record